GACGAACGCUGGCGGCGUGCUUAACACAUGCCAGUCGAACGGAAAGGCCCUGCUUUUGUGGGGUGCUCGAGUGGCGAACGGGUGAGUAACACGUGAGUAACCUGCCCUUGACUUUGGGAUAACUUCAGGAAACUGGGGCUAAUACCGGAUAGGAGCUCCUGCUGCAUGGUGGGGGUUGGAAAGUUUCGGCGGUUGGGGAUGGACUCGCGGCUUAUCAGCUUGUUGGUGGGGUAGUGGCUUACCAAGGCUUUGACGGGUAGCCGGCCUGAGAGGGUGACCGGCCACAUUGGGACUGAGAUACGGCCCAGACUCCUACGGGAGGCAGCAGUGGGGAAUAUUGCACAAUGGGCGGAAGCCUGAUGCAGCAACGCCGCGUGCGGGAUGACGGCCUUCGGGUUGUAAACCGCUUUCGCCUGUGACGAAGCGUGAGUGGCGGUAAUGGGUAAAGAAGCACCAGCUAACUACGUG
RNAcentral lists this ribosomal RNA (468 nucleotides) under uncultured bacterium. RNAcentral's name for it is "partial 16S ribosomal RNA". It matches the Rfam family "Bacterial small subunit ribosomal RNA", at positions 28 to 507 of the family's 1533-position model. The record is from RNAcentral.